ACACGUGGAUAACCUACCUAUAAGACUGGGAUAACUUCGGGAAACCGGAGCUAAUACCGGAUAAUAUUUUGAACCGCAUGGUUCAAAAGUGAAAGACGGUCUUGCUGUCACUUAUAGAUGGAUCCGCGCUGCAUUAGCUAGUUGGUAAGGUAACGGCUUACCAAGGCAACGAUGCAUAGCCGACCUGAGAGGGUGAUCGGCCACACUGGAACUGAGACACGGUCCAGACUCCUACGGGAGGCAGCAGUAGGGAAUCUUCCGCAAUGGGCGAAAGCCUGACGGAGCAACGCCGCGUGAGUGAUGAAGGUCUUCGGAUCGUAAAACUCUGUUAUUAGGGAAGAA
This 342-nucleotide ribosomal RNA is filed under the name Staphylococcus aureus. Its description in RNAcentral is "bacterial SSU rRNA". It matches the Rfam family "Bacterial small subunit ribosomal RNA", at positions 113 to 449 of the family's 1533-position model. Lineage: Bacteria; Bacillati; Bacillota; Bacilli; Caryophanales; Staphylococcaceae. The record is from RNAcentral.